CCUACGGGGGCUGCAGUGGGGAAUAUUGGACAAUGGGCGAAAGCCUGAUCCAGCCAUGCCGCGUGUGUGAAGAAGGCCUUCGGGUUGUAAAGCACUUUCAGUGGGGAAGAAAGCCUUGGGGCUAAUACCCUCGAGGAAGGACAUCACCCACAGAAGAAGCACCGGCUAACUCCGUGCCAGCAGCCGCGGUAAUACGGAGGGUGCGAGCGUUAAUCGGAAUUACUGGGCGUAAAGCGCGCGUAGGCGGUCUGAUAAGCCGGUUGUGAAAGCCCCGGGCUCAACCUGGGAACGGCAUCCGGAACUGUCAGGCUAGAGUGCAGGAGAGGAAGGUAGAAUUCCCGGUGUAGCGGUGAAAUGCGUAGAGAUCAGGAGGAAUACCAGUGGCGAAGGCGGCCUUCUGGACUGACACUGACGCUGAGGUGCGAAAGCGUGGGUAGCAAACAGGAUUAGAUACCCCAGUAGUC
This 464-nucleotide ribosomal RNA is filed under the name Vreelandella stevensii. RNAcentral's name for it is "partial 16S ribosomal RNA". It matches the Rfam family "Bacterial small subunit ribosomal RNA", at positions 338 to 795 of the family's 1533-position model. Lineage: Bacteria; Pseudomonadati; Pseudomonadota; Gammaproteobacteria; Oceanospirillales; Halomonadaceae. The record is from RNAcentral.